ACUUUUCUGCCAUUCCUAGCGGCGACUCGACUCAAGCCCUGGCUGGCUGGUCGUAGUUAUUGCGCAGUUCAGUUGACAGGCGUUGAUACAACGCUACGCGGGGUAUGCGCAGAGCCUUAACCUACACCCACUACAUUUCUCCUCUGUCCUCUCUAUAACUAGCUUUUCUCUUUUGCUUUUCGUUUCCCUCUUCUUUCAAAAUCAUCACCGAAUCAACAAAUAAUCUUUCACUCUGUCACUCACUAACAAAAAAUCAGGAAACGAUCAAUAAUUACCAAGUUAAUAGCAAAUUAACUGAACUGCUUCAAGCAAUAAUGGCUACUUUCGGUGCUGCUGCCGUUGCCACCAAUCAAAACCCUAACAAUUCCAUCGAGGUAUACUUUAUUUAUUUAUUUUCUUUUUUCUUUUUUCUUUUUUCUUUCCGAUAAUCUUUAAAAAUUAUUUACCUUUAAAUUUUCUUGUCGGUUUCUUGUGUAUGAUGAACUUGGCGACUGUUGAAUUAAUGCUUAUGAUGAUGUUGUAAGGAUUAAGUAGAAAGAUAUAUAAAUUAUUUAUUAUAUAUUUUUGUCAGGGUUAAGCUUAAUUGCUUGUGUUAAUGUAAAAAUUAAUUCUACAUUUUCGGAUAAAGAUUUUUUUUUAAUGCUAAAUAUGUAUGCGAAGCUAUGAUCAUUUGUUUGCUUGCUUUCUUGCUGAACGGAUUGUUGAAAGCGAACCAAUUGCUAAGCUUGUGAAUGUGUUGGAGUUUCAGUGUAAAAGAACAGUAGUUAGUAAGUGAAUCACACUGUUAAGUUUAUAUUAGGUUAAUGAAGAUAAGUUUUCUACAAUUGGUCAUGUAAAAGUUUGAUGCACCAAAUUUUCAAAUGAGAUAAAUUGUUUCUGGUCAUAGGUUCCAAAUUUAUACGCUAGAUGUUGAUAUCAUGUAGGUGUAUGUGAAGUGUAGUUCUCUCAUUGAAGCUUCGUUUGAUACUUGAGUAAGCUUGGUUGAUCUUUUAAUAUAAAGAUGCUGUUAGAAAAGUAGUAUUUACGUGAAAUUUUUCAAUGGCAGGUGUCUCAACCUCCCAAUGAUUCUGUUUCAAGCCUUUGUUUCAGUCCCAAGGCCAAUAUCUUGGUUGCAACCUCAUGGGAUAAUCAGGUUUGUCCAAUCGGGUUCUGUUCUUUUUUUAUACCUUUAGUUAUGCCUUUCUGUUUGUUGGUUAACAUCCUUGAUAUUCCCAUUCGUCUUGUUUGAAUGCUUUCACAGGUAAGGUGUUGGGAAAUUUCACACAGUGGAACUGCUGUGGCCAGUGUGCCCAAGGCAUCAAUUUCGCAUGACCAUCCGGUAAUCUAAAGCAAGAUUUGUGGUAGUUAGAAUAACAUACUGUUGAAUUUGUGAUUGCUGAUAAUUUAACCUUUUUCUUAUCUUUGAAAUUUGAAGGUCCUAUGCUCAACAUGAAAGGAUGAUGGAACUACUGUCUUCUCUGGAGGAUGUGACAAGCAGGUCAAGAUGUGGCCUUUGCUCUCUGGUGGUCGGUCAGCCAGUGACUGUUGCUAUGCAUGAUGCGCCAAUUAAGGAGGUUACUUGGAUUCCAGAGAUGAAUCUACUUGCUACAGGAAGCUGGGACAAGACAUUGAAGUAAGAUUUUUUCGCUUCUUUUUAUUUAAAAUUGCAGUCUAUGUCGCAUUUUGGUUGGGGCAGUAAAUUGGUUUUAUAAUUAUAAGUUCAUCUGUUAGAAGCCUUCGUUGUGCAGUUGAGUGUAAUGACCUUGCCAAGUGGGACAAUAUGUGCAUGUGGAUAGUUAAGUGGUCAGUUCACAUGACCUCGAACAGAAGAGUGACCAUGUUGUGUUCAGAUGAACGAAUGGAACUGUUGUGCGUGUUUUGCUCUGCCACAGUAACUUGUACUGACAAUUACUGAUGCUCAAAGUGGAUAUGAGCUGGCAGGGGCUAUGGAUUCUCAAAUUGUCAGCACUCUUUGUCCAUACUUAUAUAAUUUAGGUGUUGUUUAAAGAGAAACAUCCAUGAUGAGUGCUUUAAUAUUGUAGGCUUUUCUCUUUCUUUCUUCUCUAAGUCGUGGGUGUCAUGCUCUUUUCUUUCUCCUUUUGGGUUUACAGUAUAUCCUUUCGUUUUAUUUGGUAUCUGAUGUGGUCAACAGUUUACUGUGUCUCCAUGUGGUGCCUUGUGUUAUCUGUAAGCACUUUGUCCGAUUUUUUGUGUAGUUGAUCAGUCACUUAUACUCUCUUGAUGUUCUUGUAUUUUGAGUUCCUUACCCUCUUAAUGUUGCAAUAUGUAAUUAGGUACUAGGAUACAAGGCAGCCAAAUCCUGUUCACACUCAACAGCUGCCUGAUCGCUGCCAUGCAUUUACGGUGAGAUAUCAACUUAUGGUUGUUGGCACUGCAGAUAGAAAUCUAGUUGUCUUCAACUUGCAGAAUCCUCAGGUAUUGUUUUUUAUUCCAUGAGAGCAUUGAUUUAUGUGUAAGUUAAAUGGGCAAAUUUAGUGCAGGCAGCUGAAGCAUGUGUUUUGUGUGGCAGCAGCUGCUGCGACAUUAGUAGUUGGCUGACUAAUUUAUAAAAAACUAUUUGUGAUUCUAUCAUUAUUGAUGAAUUAAUAAAGUGAAUUAGUUUAUCUUUUAGUGGUUUUGUGCAUUUUAAUGUGUAAAUAGUGUUACUCAAAAACAAAUAUGACUAGUAGAAAACUGGAAAUAUAUAUAUAAAGUGUACUAGAGAUGAUAUAAUUUUACUAUUUUCAAAAAAAAAAAAAAAAAAAAAAAAAAAUAGUAUCUAUGGCAGCUUGUGCUUGUAGCCCAGUGGUAUGAGGCUCAUUCUCUUCAAUAUUAGUGAGAGCAGAUAUUUGAGCUUAUUACUUCUCUAGAGUCCUAUAAAUUUUAGUGAUUUCAAAUUGUAUAUAUCUCUAAAAAAUAAAAAUAAAAAUAAAAAAGAUUUCUCAGAAAAAAGAAAAGAAAAAAAAAAAGAAACUCUAGUACAUAAGUUUGCAUUGUGUUGUUAGACUUGGAAAAGUCUCGACAGUGAUUGGAUAGAUUUUUAUUUGUUUAACAAUUAAAGAUGUUACUUCUGAUAAUAAAACACUCAUUGAUUUAGAAAAAUUAAUCAUUCGAUCAUCGAUCUCAAUGGAUCGCUUUGCAAUCUUCAUUAUUCUUGUUUCCUUGCUGCUGUCUUCUUGAUACUAGCACCACCUUCUCAUUUACAUAUCUUAACUAAAGCUUUAAUUUCUUUUAGUUUCUCCAUCAUUCAGGGGAGGAUUUGAUGAUUUGCUAUUGUGUGAGGAGAAGCCAAGAAGCAGAUGUAGAGGGUUGUUAAUUUUGGGGAUAAUUAUUUUUCAGUGGGGACAAUUUUAUAAAAAGAAUUUAAUAAUGAAUCAAUUUUAUAAAUUGUCUUUUGUGGUGGGCACGAACUGACAUUUUACAACUCAAAAUAUUAGCGAAAGUUCGAAACGAUUUUCUUCUCUCUCAAAUCUUGCUCGCCGCUCUCAAUUGAAAAAACAGAGCCCUCUGCUCUCACUUCUCAGCUCUUUUUUGGUACUCCAUUGAAAUUCAUAAAAUAAUGAUAAUGAGACUAUUAUUGAAUAUUUUUAAAAUAUGAAAAAGCACUGGGAACAAGUGUGAGAAUCUUUUUACUAAUAUCUAGGGGUGGGCAAACGGUUCGGUUUUUGCCGAACCGAACCGAAAAAUUCGGUUCGGUUCGGUUCGGUUCUAUGAGCAAAAACCGAAUGGUUUAAAAAAUACUGAACCAAUUGGUUUUAAUUCGGUUCGGUUCAAAACCGAAUUGAACCGAAAAACCGAUCGGUUCGGUUUAAUUCAAUUACAAAUAUUUAAAAUCAAAUUUCAAUUUCAAUCACAAAAUUCAAAUCCCUAAAGCUAAAUCGCGAUUGCAUACUGCCCUUGCCUCUCUCCCUCGCGCCUCUCCCUCGCGUCUCUUUCUCCUCACGGCGGAGCUCCACAACGGCGGCACCACCCCUUAGCAGUAUCUUCCCCCUCUGCGCGUGCAUGGUGCGGUUCGGCGCAGCCCCUCUCGGUCUCUUCCUCGCGUCUCUUCCUCGUCUCACACCACGGUCAGCGCCUAACACAGCCCCUUAGUAGCAGCACAGCCCCUCCCCUCAAGUACAGCGACGCCGUCGUUAACCCUCAGCUUGGUUGCUGCAGCAUCUGGAAGGUACAUAUGCUCCUUGGUCCAAACCUCCUGGCUCCUGCCAUCAGCCCGCGUCUUUAAUCUUCACUGCUGCAGGUUUUUUUUUUUUUUGUUAAUCCAUGUUGUGGACUUGGUUAAUAGUUUGAAGUUUAUGUUGGUGUAUAUUGGUUGUUGGCAGUGUGGAAAUUGGAAUUGUAUAAUUGUAUAUUUGUCGAAUUAUAACAUAGUGUGGAAUUGCUGGCACGGCAGUGUGGAAUUGUAUAAGUUAUGAGAAAACGAUUGUGAAAUGCUUCUAAUUUCAUUGACUAUGAUUAAUUUGGGAAAAAAGCUUUACAAUGAUUCCGUGUCUGUUUCAAUUUCUUUUAGAUUUUCUCUUCUCACAGUUUAAGCGUUGCUCAUGCCACUGGAAUUGGUUACUUCAAUUCCAUUACUAGGCCGAAUAAUUAAAUGAAAUAGAGCUUGUGCCUUUCUUGUGGAGCCUUACAUAUUAAAUUUGAUUCAAUAAUAAAUAUUAAGAAUAUUCAAUUGAAUAUAACUUGCGGAAGGUAUAUUUUGUAAAACUUUAAUUUAAAUUUCUGUAAUGGCUUGGGAAAGUAGAUUGAGAUUAUCCAAAUGUGCUUAAUUCAGUUCAAUACUUCAAAUUAUUAAAUAAAUCAUUUUUCUUAUUUCUUUUUAUUUGAUUUAUUUUAGAUGUCUAAUUAUUCAAGAGUUCAAGACAACCUUGAUUGUGUAGCCGAUGAUUUGGAACAUGAAGUUGAAGUUAAUGAUAAUGAAAAUGAUUCGGCAACAAUUGUCACUGGUGGAAACAAGCGAAAAAAGUCAUCCUCAUCCAAACCACCACUACCAAGGAAAAAAAUGGCUCCAAGAUCACCAGUGUGGCAACAUUUCACUAGAGUUCCAAAUGAUCAUACAAAGUGUAAAUGCAACUACUGUGGUCAAGAAUUUGAAUGUGGGACGGUCGGGUACGGGACUAGCACUUUGAGAACUCAUAAUCGUGAAAGAUGUCAAAAGUUCAAGGACUUGCAAAAAAACCAAACAAUAUUAACUCAAGAUGUUGGUAGUGAUGAAGUUGUAGCAAGGGGAUUUAGUCAAGAAGCUUGUAGACGGGCAACCGUGAAAAUGAUUGUUCUUGAUGAAUUGCCUUUUUCUGUUGUGGAGAAUGCAGGUUUUAGGCAUUUCUGUAGUGUUGCAGCUCCGAGAUAUCUUCUCCCAUCACGAAGAACCAUUAGUAGGGAUACUCUUGAGAUGUAUUUGGAGGAAAAGGUUAAGUUGAAGAGUUUAUUAGCGGGGAAUAAGCAGAGAGUAUCUUUGACCACGGAUAUUUGGACUUCCAUUACAACAGCUAGCUACAUGGUCAUCACCGCUCACUUUAUUGAUAGAGAUUGGAACUUACAUAGGAAGAUUAUCAGUUUUAACACUAUUAAUGAUCAUUCAUCGGAGACCAUUGGUAAGCAACUUAAAAAAUGUUUAAUUGAUUGGGGUAUCGAGCGAGUGUUUACUGUAAGUGUUGACAAUGCAAGUCCAAAUGAGGGUGCUCUUAGGUACUUGAUUGAUAGAGUAAAGACUUGGAGGGAUGAUGGCUUAGUGUUGAAUGGAGAUUAUUUGCAUGUUCGUUGCUGUGCACACAUAUUGAAUUUGAUCGUUACUGAAGGGUUGAAGGAAUUAGAGCAGAGUAUAGUUAGUGUUCGGAAUGCGGUGAAGUAUGUGAGAUCUUCCACUGCUAGGAUGCAAGCAUUUCAAAUUCGUGUGCAACAAGAGAAGAUUAAAUGUCGAGGAAGUGUGAUUUUGGAUUGUCCCACUAGGUGGAAUUCAACAUAUUCCAUGUUGAAUACGGCAUUAAAAUUUAAGCCGGCAUUUGAUCGAAUGGCACUUGAAGAUAAGCUUUAUGAUGCUUAUUUCAAUGAAAAAGAGGGUGGAAAGAAGAAAAGGGAGGGACCGCCAUUGUACAGUGAUUGGGAAAAUACUCGACGCAUAGUUAAGUUUUUAAAGACGUUUCAUGAUGCGACUUUGCAAUUUUCUUCAUCUUUGAAGGUAACAUUAAAUCUUUAUUAAAUUUUUUUAAUUUUUGAUAUAUAAUAAUCCGAUGAAGUUUAUUUUAGCUUUAUUAACAUUGUUUUUAUUUAUAUAAUAGAAUAUAAAAGAUAAUUAAAAAAAUUCUAUAAGCUAUAUUAUUUUUUUUAUGAGCUAUAUUUUUUUAAUUUUUGAUAUAUAAUAAUAUGAUGAAGUUUAUUUUAGCUUUAUUAACAUUAUUUUUUUUUUAGGUGACAUCAAAUAUUUGUUACAAUUUGAUAUGUCAAAUUGAACAAUCUUUGGGAUCAUUGUCCACUAGUAACGAUAGUCUUUUGAGUUUCAUGGCAAUUAAAAUGAAGGAAAAAUUUAAUAAGUAUUGGGAUGGUUGUUUCAAGAUAAAUAAGUUGUUGAUUGUUGCUUCCGUACUUGAUCCAAGAGGAAAAAUGAAAUUCGCAACACAUUGCUUUGAGAAAUUAUAUGGCAAGGAUAGUGCCAAAUGUGUUGAGAUGAAGGAAAUGAUCAAGAAUUUAUUGAUUAAGCUUUAUGAGUCUUAUAAUGCACAAUACAAACCGAGUGGAAGUGGGAGUGCAAGUGGAAGUGCAAGCGGAAGCACAAGCGAGAGCCAAAAUUUAACUAGUGGAAGUGGAAGUGGUUCGCAUUUUUGGGAUUUGGAUGAUGAUGAUGAUGUUAUGAUUGAGGAUCCUUUCUCCGAAUUUAGUAAAGUGGUUGCGGUUAGUGAAGGUAGCCCGGAGUUAUCAAAUGAGUUGGAUCUUUACUUGAUGGAGAAGACUGAAAAAAUUGCAAAAAGUAAUUUGGGCACUAAAUUUGAUAUUUUAUUGUGGUGGAGGGUGAAUAGUGCCAAUUACCCAAUCUUGUCAAGUAUAGCAAGGGAUGUUCUUGCUAUUCCGGUGUCUACUGUUGCCUCUGAGUCUGCCUUUAGUACUGGAGGUCGUAUAUUAGAUCAGUAUAGAAGCUCUUUGACUCCAGACAUGGUGGAAGCAUUGGUAUUGUUACAGAAUUGGUUGCGGACUUCUCUUUUUGUGGAUACAACGACGGACCUAAAUAAAUUAGUUGAAGACAAUAAGUUUAUGGAUCAACUUGCGGAAGGUAUAUUUUGUAAAAUUUUAAUUUUAAUUUACUUUUUAAGUAUUAUCAAUAUUAUAUAAUUUGUUUAAUUUUAAUCUAAGUUUAUUUUUUAAGUAUUACUAACCUUGUUCAAUUUAUCCAAUUUUUGUAUGUAGAACUUCGCAAAUCAACAACAGUCGACCAACUUUGUAGGUCAACAUGAAAAUUGCGGUUGAACAUAAACCAUUUUAGGUAAUUAAAUUGAUAUAUAUUUAUUAAUUAAUUAUUAAAUCGCUUUAUUUUAUUUAGUUUAAUUAUUGAGUGCUUUGGCUUAUUUUGAAAGUUUGAAUUUUGAUGUAGGUGAUGUGGGUGGCGGAUGAAAUUGUUGCUUGUGUAUUGAAGUUGAAGGCUUCUCUUAUUUUGUUUUGUUUAGAGUAUGGGAUUUUCAUGUAGAUGAUGUGGGUGGUGGAUGAAAUUGUUGCUUCUCUUAUUUUGUUAUUUACUUGAAGGCUUUGUAUUAGGACUUUUGUUAUUUUGUUUUUUACUUGAAGGCUUUGUAUUUGAAGUUGUUGAUUGUGUAUUGUAGACUUAUUGUGUUUUAUUUUUCUUGUUGUGAACUUAUAUUCUGUAAAAUGUAGGGGAAAAUUGUAAAAUGCAGUAAAAUUAGGCGAAAAUUGUAAAAUGUAGUAAGAUUUGGUUAAAACUGUAAAAUCUAUAAAUAUGUGCGAACCGAACCAAACCAAACCAAACCGAACCGAAUUUUAGAACCGAACCGAACUGAACCGAAAUAUUUCGGUUCGGUUCUAAAAUUCGGUUCGGUUUGGUUUGAAUUUUUUUGAACCAAUUGGUUCUGGUUCGGUUCGGUUCGGAGCCCGAACCGAACCGAACCGGAAAAUGCCCACCCCUACUAAUAUCAUUGAGUAUUAAACUGUAAAAAAUUAUUUUCACUAAUUCUUUUAUUAUAACAUUGUCCCCAAUGAAUUAAUUUCCCGGAUCAUCUAUGUACAAGAACCCUCUGUUUGAAUUUUUUUUUUUACUAUUUUUUUCCCAUUGUUAAAUUUUCGCAUAUGUAUCUUUCAAGUAUAAAAUCCGUUUUUUUCUCUUUUUUUUCUUAAUCCUGUUUAAUAAGAACUGGAGUUAAUCUCAAAUGUUAAUUGUUUGUUUUGAGAAACAUAGUUCUAUGUGUACGUGACUUUUAAUUUCUGUUAUUUCCUUUUUUCAGAUGUGACUUUGAACAUUAUUAUAAAAUAUUGGUUGUAGAAAUUUUUAUUUUUAACUAAAUGAUAUAUUUUUACACUUGCCCAUUUACUUUUUCUUGAUAAAAUUAUAAUGAUUAUAGACAUUAAGAAAUUAAUUACCACGUGCAUUAAAUAAUGAAUUACUGAAAAAGUUGUUUUAUAAAAAAAAAUUCUACCACAUAUAUUUUCGCUGUUUUUAUAUUGUCAAACAAAUAAAAAACAUAUUUUACUGUUCUUAUUUUUAUAUAUUGUUUAGAAAAUAAAUUACCAAAUACCUUUUCAAUUUGGGAAUAUCACAUCAAAAACCUAUUUUACUUCUUUAAAAUAAAUAUAGAAAACACCAAUCGAAAAAAUGACACCAAAAGCACCAUUAGUGUCUGCAGUCUCAAUUGGAGUUUUUUUUUUUAUGUCGUUAUUCUUAUCGAUCACUGUAGCAGCAUUUAACCAACGCAUGCAUCCAAUCUUUUUUUCUAGCUGAUCCUUCUAAGUCUUGCCUAAAUUAAUUAGUUUGAACUUUUGUAUAGCAUCAGUGCAAAAGCUUAUCCGAUUGAUAGUGAUAAAAUGAUCAUAAAUUUGAUUUUUACUCAUUUAUUACUUUCAUGCGACCUCAUUUUGUAUAUCAAAAUUGGUAUGAGAAUAUAUAUGUUUUUUUAGGUGUAGUCUGAAUCUAAAUUAAAAAUAAAAUAAAAGAAAAUAAUAAGAAGGGGAGAAAGGAGAUUUUGAUAAAAGGGCAAUUGACAAAAUCAGUGUCUAAACGACAAUAUUUUGGUCGUUAGUUACAACCCAAAAAACAGAAAAAAAAAUUAAAAAAUCAUUUUAAUGGUGACCUGAAGUCGGCCUUGGCUUUUUCCUAAAUACAUGAAUUAUACACGUUGCAACAUUUGGAAUAAUCAUUUGAUCGAUCUCAAUGGAUCGCUCUGCAACUCCUAUUAUCUCCUUGUUAUUAUUGUCGAUUGUUCCGGCAGCAGUGGCCAUUCUAGGCUUGAUUUUCUACUGUGUGAGGAGAAAGCCUAGAAGCAGAGGUAAAAGUUUCUCAUUUAAUCGCACGAUUUUGAGAGUUGAAUAUACGUACGUACGUACGUACGUAGACAUAUCUUAAUUAAAGCUUUAAUUUCUUCACCAUCCAGGAGAGGAUUUGAUGAUGUUUGAUUUGGAUUUGAACCUGAAAGCCGAUAAUGUUAUCAUCGAGCUUCCUGCAAACAAUAAGCAGGCAAAAAGAAGCAAAAAGAAGGAAGUUGACCAACUGCCCUUAUUCAGUUUUUCCAGUGUUUCUACUGCAACAAAUAAAUUCUCCGACGCAAAUAAGCUCGGAGAGGGUGGCUUUGGCCCUGUUUAUAAGGUACUACAGAUAUCCUUUUCUUUGGAGCAAUAAUUUCAUUUUUAACAGAACUAUAAAUUCACCAUCUUCAGGGAGUGUUAAAAAAAGGAGAUGAGAUAGCUGUGAAAAGGCUUUCGGGAAGAUCUGGACAAGGAUUGCGAGAGAUGAAAAAUGAAGCUUCGGUGAUAGCCAAGGUUCAGCACAAGAAUCUUGUUAGGCUUUUAGGCUGCUGCAUAGAUAAAGAUGAGAAGAUUCUGAUCUAUGAGUACAUGCCUAACAAAAGCUUGGACUUCUUUCUUUUUGGUUAGUGUUUUGCAAUUUUUUCUUAUUCUCACAUAUUCCUUACUUCAAAUUUUAUUCAUACAUUUGUUUAAACUACUAUUUAAUACGAAAUUUUAUAUCAAAAAUUUAUUUAAACUAGAAUUUAGCUUAUAUUACAUUUCCAAAUUCUAUUCAUUAGUUUAUUUAAAAUAGCAUUUAGCAUUUAAUUUAAGAUUAUAUAUCAAAAUUUCAUUCAAUAAUUUAUUAAAACGUGUACAUAAUAUUAAAUAUCAAAAUUAUUCAAUUAUUAAUUUAUAUUGAAAUUGAAUAUCUCAUAUAAUAUUCAAUAAUUAACAAUAAACUUUAACAAAUAAUCAUACUUUUCAAAUAGUUUUUUUAAUCAUAAUUUUUAAAUAGUUUUUUUUUUAAACUUCCUUAAAUUGGAUUUAAUAGCAUCUGGUCCAAUACUAAACCAAACACAAAACAUUACUAUAAAAUAAUUCAAUCUAAUCCAAUCCACUUCAAUCUUAAUAACUAGUCCAAUUCAAUCCUUUGUUUACCUAACCUAAAAGAAUAUUUAGCAUUUACUAUUUCGUUUAGCUAUUUUUAAGUUUAAUGAUUAACAUCAUCCAAUUAUCAGAUUUAAAAGAAAAAUUAAGUCACUAGAUCAAUUUACGUCAGAUUAUGCGGUCAACAUUUUUUAUUUUCAUACAUAAUGACAUUUAGUCUUUUUGUUGUAAAUUAGAUCCAACCAAGCGAAUGUUAUUAGAUUGGGUAACACGUGUUCAGAUUAUUGAAGGGAUAGCUCAAGGACUUCUUUAUCUUCAUCAAUAUUCUAGGGUACGAAUUAUUCAUCGAGAUUUAAAAGCUAGUAACAUCUUGUUGGAUAAAGACAUGAAUCCCAAAAUAUCAGAUUUUGGAAUGGCAAGAAUUUGUGGAGGAAAUGAGUUACAAGCAAACACUAGUAGGAUCGUUGGGACUUAGUAAGUAAAUGACACAAACCAAAAUUAAAGUGAUUAAGUUAUGCAUAAAUUACUGAUUAUUAUUUAUUAAUUAUUGAAUUACAGUGGUUAUAUGUCCCCGGAAUACGCACUCGAAGGAAUAUUUUCAAUUAAAUCCGAUGUUUUUAGCUUUGGAGUAUUGUUGCUUGAGAUUGUAAGUGGCAAGAAGAACACUGGACUUUAUCGAACCGACUCUCUCAAUCUGCUAGGUUAUGUAAGUAGCAAAAGCGAUUACACAUAUUCUUUUUAUAUUACUUAGGUGAAAAUAUUUAUUAAUUCCCAAGUCAUGCUCAGGUGUGGACAAGCACAAUGUGAAAACGUUUGAAUUUUUGCACCUGACAUAAACUAUUCUCUAUAUCGAGUGUAGGACUAUCUAAUAACACCGUAUGGUUGUUCAGGCAUGGGAUCUGUGGACAAGCAACAGGACAUUGGAGUUGAUUGAUCCAAUAUUAGAAGAUGAAUAUUCCUCCAAGCAUAUGCUUUUAAGAUAUGUGAACAUAGCUCUCCUUUGUGUACAAGAAAGUGCUGAUGAUAGACCCACCAUGAAUGAUGUUGUAUCCAUGCUUACAAAUGAAGCUGCAGCAUUACUUCCUCCCAAACAACCUGCUUUUUCGUUUGUAAGAAAUACAGUCACUUCAACAUCGUCCACCGGCAAGACAGAAGAUUGUUCAGUCAACCAAGUAACGAUUUCAAUUUUAGAAGCGCGCUAACUUUUAUUUUAAUGUGUAUCGAGUCCUUUUUUGGGAAAUGGUUUCAAGGAUUUUUCCAAAAGUUGCAAAGAUUAUGUAAGUUAAUUCAUACACUUUGGGGUUAGGUUGUUAUAAUUACUCCUCUGAUCUAUUAUUUGAACUGAGUUUCCUAUUUUUGACUCGCUAGUGUGAAAUGUUAAAAGUCAAUAUGUAUUGACCAUUUGAAGAAUAAUUAAGUACACCAAAAUCUUGAGUGCUAGCUGUUAGCCUUAUUUUCCCGUUCAUUUUAUAACGUGCAUGCGUCUUUCAAUCAGUCAUUAUAACUAAAUGUAAUAAUGCGAGAACCGAAUUCAAUCAUAAGUUGGCUCUUCUUUGGACCAAUAAAAUCACUAUCAAAUGUUAGCUCUAACCUUACAAGACUUUUCAAAGUCUACAGGUCCCGCAAGCAAAUCAAAGUUGGUUUUGAAGCGAGGACGAAUUGCAUUCAGUCAAUUAUUAGAUUUUUUUUAUUAAAAAAAAAAAGUGGAGGGAUGGUCAAAAAUCAAAUUAAUCUUUUAUUUUCUAUUUUCUCCAAAAUUCAAACUUAAUUAGGCGAUCAUCUAAAUAAGAAUACUUGAAAACUACUGGCUAAACUCCUGAGACUAAUUAUUAGAUAUUAUAUGGAGUAAUGUCCCUGAUUUUUAUUGGUUCAAGGGGUCUGAUACUAUCACGAUUCUGAUAUAUAAAAAGCCAUGCAUGGAACCAUUAUUUUCGUUCAAUGGGAUCAGAAUCAACAAACUACGAACUUUGGGAGGCCAAAAUCAACAAUUUGUAAACAGAGGGAGUGAGAGUAUAAGGACAUAUGUAGAGUCCAAAGAAAUGAACUAAAUUUCAAUUAAUGUCCUUAUCUUGCUAUGAAUUAUAUAAUUAUAAUUACAGAGAGACACUUUUAAAUAAAAUUUGGACACAAUAUUCUGACAAUUAAAUUAAAGCUAAGCAAGAGUUAAUAUUGAAGUUGACAUGCCUUUUUUAAGUUUUAAAAACCAACAAAUUAAUGUAGUAGAUCUCCAUAUAAUAAGAAAUUAUUGAUCAUUUUUCUCUCUCUUGCUUAACAUAUUCCCUCUUUUAUAUAUGCAAAAUUAUUUUGUCCAUCAAAAUUCGUACCAGAACAUAUUUGUUUCUACGUGAAUAUAUAUUAAAAAUAAAAUAAAAUAAUAAGGAGAGAAGGGGAUUUUGGAUAAAAGGAUGAUCACCAAAAUCACUAUCAAAACGAUUAUGUUCUAGUUGUUAGUAAAAAGAAAAAAAAAAAUGACAUGAUUUGAAUGGUGAUUUUUAUCACCACUUUGCACUUUGUUCAAAUAGCAUUACAUGGGUUUUGAUUGUUUAGUGUUUGCUCCUAACUCAUUCCCUUAAAAAAUUAUCCUGAUUUCAAAAUCCAAUAAUUUAGGAUUCAUGUCUUUGUCCAACAACAUGUUAUUAUUCUUUUCUUCUUUCAAAUCCAUGUGAGUAAUCAGCGCACGGUGCUUACAAGUCUUCCCUGCUGACCUGAAGUCCUCUUCGGCUGCUUUCUAAUUAAUUAACUUGGGCUACCUUUACUCUGUUAUAUUACAUAUACAUUGCAACUUGCAAGUUCCAUUCCUUCUCUGAGUUUCAUUUCAACUACUAUUAGACCCAAUCAUGAGAUCAAUUUUACUCUUAUCAUGGCUUUUCUCGAUACCCUUUUUAGCCAAUUAUUUGGGAUGCAUAUGGUUUGGGUGUCUGGCCAAUGUCAAGGCGAUAAAAAAUUGCUCCAUAUUUGACGUUGAAAUUAAUAGUUUAUGUUUUAUAUUGAAUUAUAAGUAAAUUACCUCUUGCAAAAAUAUGAAAUACUGAGGCUAACGAUGUGCCUUGAAGAGCGAUAUCAAGAUUAAUAUGGAAAAACACGUGCGAUCGGAUUCAAAAUUGCAAUGACACAAUCAAGAGCCAUCCAUUUUAUAUGACGAACCCAUUAAUUAUGAGGUAGAGAUUAAACAAAGUUAUAAUCAAUAGGAUUAAUUUUAUCUAUCAAAUCAAACUGACCACUUUUUAAAAAAUUGGAGACGAUUAUCAUUUUGUACAUAUGGGUCCAAUCCACAGAGAGCUUCGCCGAAGCUGAAAGCAGUGGAUAAAGUAGCGGAUACUCAUAAUCUGAUUGAUCUUUGGAUUUUCAGUCCAUGUCCUAUUGUGAUACUUACAUUACAUAUGAAAGAUCAACAAUACAUAUGAGAGAGGAUAGUGGCUAUAAACGCCUAUAUAGCUAGCUUUAAACACCAGUUGAACAGGGACAUCUUUUAUUAAAAAGAUAUAAUGGAAUUAACAAAAUAGAUAUUAGAAGGAUUUUGUUUUUGGAAAUUCUACAUUUUUUGAAAUGUCGAUAACAGAGAGUUUUAAGAGAACCCCAGACUUUUCAAGAGAGUUCUAGCUAGUAUUGGGACUAGCUCAUCCACACAGAAUAAACAUUCACAAGUUUUAUUUGAUGGUCCAUUUUCUUAUAAAUUUUAGAAAGUUUUUAAGUCGAUUAUAGUGCCAUUCAAAGCAACAAAGACUAAUGAAGCUGCACCAAGGUCCAAUAUUAAUCUCAGCACAGUGAGUUCUCAUUCUCAACGCCGUUCCUGCUUUGAUACUAACUAUUACGAAUCUAUUAAUUGGUAUAACUCACCAUUAACAAUCCCACAACUUGUAAUAAAAUAUUGCCCAUAAUUCGUACAUACAAAUUUAGAAUAUUAUUUUCUGUCCAAAUAGAGUUUAGGAUCACAACAAAGUUAAUAAACCAACAAAAAUAAAGUACAAAGACAUGGUUCAUAACCACCAUCUAAUUUGAAAAAUAGAUCAACUGCAGCAGAAGAUUCAGUAAGUUAAUAGAUACCGUUAAGUCAGGUUGUUGUAGUAACUCAUGUGAUCUAAUAAUUUUCACUUGCUUUCUACCAGGGAAAUAUAAGACUCCUACUCUUCAAUUUUUCAAUCUUAACCUAUUCAUGUCUGCCAACAUGUUACGACUCUUCUUUUCUGUCAAAACCGCGUGAAUAAUCAGCGCAUGGUGCUUACAAUUCCAUCAUGCUGACCUGAAGUCCUCCUCGGCUGCUUUCUAAUUAGUAAUUCGUUAACUUGGGCCACCUCUGCUAUAUUAUAUCAGUCUAUAUUACAUAUACAUUGCAACUUGAAAGUUUCAUCCCUUCUAUGAGUUUCAUUUCAACUACUAUUAAACCCAAUCAUGAGAUCAAUUUUACUCUUAUCAUGGCUUUUCUUGACACCCUUUUUAGUCAAUUAUUUUGGGAUGCAUAUGGUUUUGGUGUCUGGCCAGUGUCAGAGCGAUCAAAAAUUGCUGUUAAUCCAGAUGAAGAACAGCUUCAUAUUUGACGUUGAUUCUACUCCACCUGCAAAAAUGAGUCAGUGGAGUGAAAGCACCGAUUGUUGUGAUUGGAACGGAGUAGAUUGCGAUGAGGCUGGUCAUGUUAUUGGUCUCGACUUGAGCGCGGAACCAAUACUCAUCGGCAGUCUUGAGAACGCAUCUGGCCUUUUCAGUCUUCAAUAUCUGCAGAGUCUAAAUUUGGGUUUCACUCUCUUCUACGGAUUCCCUAUGCCAUCCAGGUUGGCCAACCUCACAAAUUUGACUUACCUGAAUCUUUCUCAUUGUGGCUUCACAGGGUAGAUUCCUACUGAGAUUUCAAGCCUGCCAAGGUUGGUUACUCUUGAUUUGUCAAGUCGUGAGCCCAUAAGCGGAUUUUCCUGGAGACUUGAGAUCCCAAAUUUCAACUUUUUUCAGAACUUAACAGAGCUCAGAGAACUGUACCUUGAUAAUGUAGAUUUGUCAGGCCGCAGGACUGAAUGGUGCAAAGCUAUGUCUUUUCUGCCUAAUCUACAAGUUUUAAACUUGUCUAACUGUCUUCUUUCAGAUCCUAUAAAUCAUCACCUGGCAAAUUUACUGUCACUCUCAGUUAUUCGUUUGCGUGACAAUCAUGCUGUGUCAUGUCAAGUGCCAGAGUUUGUGGCCAAUUUGUUAAAUUUGACCACCUUGGAUCUCAGCCAGUGUGAUUUGCACGGGAAGUUUCCAGAAAAGGUAUUGCAGGUACCUACACUUGAGACUCUUGACUUGUCAUAUAACUCAUUGCUUCAGGGUUCUCUACCUCACUUUCCUAAGAAUUCUUCUCUUCGGAACCUGAACCUGAAGAACACGAGCUUCUCGGGCAAACUACCAGAUUCCAUUGGGAACCUUGAAAAUUUGGCAAGUGUAGAUGUUAGCAGUUGCAAUUUCACUAGGCCAAUUCCCACUUCAAUGGCUAAUCUCACCCAAUUAUUUCACUUGGACUUCUCAUCUAACCAUUUCUCAGAUCCCAUCCCAACUCUUCGGCUUUACAUGUCAAGAAAUCUCAACUACCUAAACCUUUCGUCUAAUGAUUUAACUGGGGGGAUCUCAUCAAAUAUUCUUUGAAUUCAGAAACCUUGAGACCCUCGAUCUUUCUUCCAACAAGUUUAGCAGAUUGAGAUUGGCUUCAAGCAAACCGAGGGUCAUUCCUAAUCUGACGAACUUGGACCUUUCAAAUAACCAAAUAUCUGGGGAGGUACCAAAUUGGAUUUGGGAAGUUGGUAGUGGCCAAUUUUACACCCUAAAUCUUUCACACAAUCUUCUAGAGAGCUUGCAAGAACCUUACUCUAUUCCUGGAAUCGGAUUACUUGACCUGCACUCUAACCAACAUGUCACCAAAUACUUCCUACGUGGAUUACUCCAACAAUAAUUUUACUUCAAUCCCAGCCGAAGAUUGUGUGAAACUGCCUUCUUUUCUGCUGCAAACAAUAGUCUCACUGGAAUCAUCCCGGAAUCUGUGUGCAAGGCCAACUAUUUUCAAGUUCUUGACUUAUCAAACAACGACAUGAGUGGCACAAUUCCUACGUGUUUAAUCACCAAUAGUAGCAGGACCCUUGGCGUUUUAAAUUUAGCGAGAAACCACCUCAAUGGCACUCUUUCUGAUACAGUUCCAGGUGGAUUGCAAAUUCUAGAUAUCAAUGGAAAUCAACUAGAAGGAAUGGUUCCAAAAUCUCUUGUCAAUUGCAACAUGUUGCAGGUUUUUAACAUAGGGAAUAACCAGAUCAGUGAUAAAUUUCCAUGCUGGUUAAAGAAUGCCUCUGGUUUACAAGUUCUGGUUUUGCGAUCCAACAAAUUCUCAGGAAAUAUUAGUUGUCCGAGAAAUAAUGUCUCCUGGACCCAGCUUCAAAUAGUCUACUUAGCUUCCAAUAACUUCAGUGGAAGGCUAUCACAAAAAUGGUUACUUACCUUGGAGGAGAUGAUGGAUGCUAAACCCGAAUGCGGAUUUGAGCUCAAACACCUUCGAUAUGCCACCGGAAGCAGCCGAUUCUAUGAGGUUACCUUAUCACUUACAAUCAAAGGUUUGGAGAUCAUGCUUCAGAAGAUCCCAAAUAUAUUCACCUCUAUUGACUUGUCAAGAAACAAUUUCGAAGAGCAAAUACCAGAAGAAAUGGGACGAUUUGUAUCACUCUAUGCUCUGAACCUGUCGCACAAUGCUCUCACAGGCUCAAUCCCAUCAUCAUUUGGGAACUUGAAACAUAUUGAGUCCUUGGACCUCUCAACGAACAACCUCAGUGGGAAAAUUCCUGCACAGCUUGCAAGCCUAAAUUUCCUAUCGGUGCUAAAUCUCUCAUACAAUAACUUAGUGGGAAAGAUUCCGACAAGUACUCAACUCCAAUCAUUUUCACCGACUUCUUAUGAAGGAAACAAAGGAUUGUACGGACCUCCUUUGACGAAUGAAAGCCAAGCACGUCCUCCUGAGUUACCACCUUCACUGCCACCAGCUUCAAGCGGUGUAAUUGAUUGGUUCUUCAUAGCCAUGUCAAUUGGAUUUGCGGUCGGCUUCGGAGCAGUUGUUUCACCUCUAAUGUUUUCCGUGCAGGUAAACAAAUGGUAUAACGAUCUUAUCUACAAAUUUAUAUAUCGGCGAUUCCGUGUGUGAAGUGAUUUAAAUCUCUCAUUUUUGAAUAAUCAUGUAAGCUAGCUUCUGCUUCUCUCUUCUGUCAUAGAUGUUUGAUAUUUCUUUUCUUCUCUGUUUCAUAGAGUUAAUAGCGUUGACAAUAAUUUGAAAUAAGGGCCUAUCUAUAACUGUUGCUGAGACAAUCUUUAUCUCAAAAUUGGCUCCAAGUUAGAUCUAUAUUGGAGCAAUUCAUGCACAACAUUUCUUCGAGAGCCCAUACUCAAUUAAUAUGUGCAAGAUUGUGUAUGAUUCCAACUCCAAGCUAGAUACAUAGCGAUUCGUGAUCAUAUUCCAUUUGUUCACUUGGAAGUCUUGAGUUAUGAGCCCAUCUAAGAAUGAGCCCAAAAAGGCUUCGGGCCCUUGUGGUCUGGCCGUGUAGUUUGUUUAAAAUAUUAGUUUAUAUUGUGUUUAAUUCAGACUUUUGUAAUUUUUCAUAUUUCAAUAUAUGUUUUCUUUCUUAUUUAAGGAUGGGAGUGGAAGUCCCACUUCAUAGAUCCCACUCAUUUUUUUAGUAAGGAUUGGGAUUCUCACUUCUAUAGGGGCCACUCCCACAUCUUCUUUUCUUUAUGAAAUAUAAUAAAUUUUAUAUUUAUUAAAAUUAAAUAAAAUUAUAUUAUUUAAAAUUAAAUCAUUAUAUUUAUUUAUGUAAUAUUAUUAUAUUUAGUUAAAAAUAAUAAUUUAUGUAAUCUAAGUUAAAAUUACUUAAAAGUAAUAUUAUUAUAUUCAUAAAAAAUUAAUAAUAUUACAAUAUACCAACUUUAUUUGAAAAAUAAAAUUAUUAUAUUUAUUUAAUAUUGAUAACUAAUAAUAAUAAAUGGUUUACUCUAAGAAAAUAUUAAUUAUGUACUAUAUUAAUAAUAAUAAUAUUCUGUUUGUUUUGCUCUUAUAAUAAUCUUUAUUUAUGUAAUUAAAAUUAAAAUUAAUAAAAAAUUAUGAUUUACAUAAUUAAGAAUAUUAAUAAUUAUUGGUAAUUUAUAUAAUUAAAAUUAAUGAUAAAUUAAAUAGUUUAUUUUAUAAAUAUAUUUUUAUUCACUUUUAAUUAGAAACUACAAUCUUUUAAACAGGGUAAAAGUGUAAUUUAAAAUAAUUCACUCUCAAUCCAAGUUAGAGUAAACAUAUAAAUGAGAUUCUGACUCCUAUUCUACAUUAUUCUUCCAAUGUAAGUGAAUGACUCAUUUCCACUCCCACUCCAUACUCUCAAUCCUUGAAUUCCUAAACCACACCGUAAUUAAGUGGUUUUCAAACAGUUUUAUUCAAUUGUAACUUGAGUUCAAAUAUUGAUAAAAUUAGAAUUAAAAAUUUCUAAAAAAAUUAUUUGAAUUUUUUCCACCACUUUACUUUUUAAAUAAAUGAAAAAGAAAAAAUCUCAAAUAUACAAAUAAAAGCUUUUAGUAUGUGCGCCAAUGACGUUUUUAUUGUCAAUUAUUUUGAGUCAUUAGUAUUGUGUAAUUUUUAUGUUGAAUAUAGUUGUACAUAAUUUAUCUAACUUUAAUAGUAUUUUCUUGCCAACUUGCGUCUUAGCAGUUAGCCAAGUGGUGAACUGCUACUCUCCCAAGUCCUCUUAAAUUUUUCUCUCCUAAUUAAAAAUUAUGUAAAGAUAUGAAUUUUCUCAGUUGAUUUUGUAGGUAGAACAAAUAGCCUUCCAACAUUCGUGAGGUAGAAAUCUAGGUUGUGCUAUAAUGGAGUUAAUAUAGACAGUCUAUCAGUAGACUCUUAAUUGUAUAAUACAUAUUAGUAAGAGGAAAAGCAUAUCUACACUUCCAAGAUUUGGGAAAUGGUCACCGACACCUCUAAGUCUUCAUAAAAGGACACCAAUACCCCUUUUGAUUAUUAUACCAUUUACCUCUAUUAUCCUAAAAAAAUAGACUUUAAAAUUUUUAAUAAAUACAAAUAUUAUAUAAAUAAUGUAAUCUACAUAGUAGACUAAUAAUAUUAAAAUAUUUUAAUAUUUUAAUAGAUUUAAAUAUAUAAAUUAUUAUAUUUCUUUUAAUAAUAUGCUUUUAUUUAUUGUAGAGAUUUUAAAUAAUACGAAUGAAGUGGAAACCAAUCUUCACAAGGAAAUAAAAUUUAUCCUUCAGCCCUUCACAUGGAAGGAAAGAUUAACCUUUAUAAAGAAGGAAGAAAAAGCAACCUUUACACGGAAAGAAAGACUUAAAAGAUGAAAAAGGGAGAAAAAAGUUAUUAAUAGUAAAUAACACUAAUUAAUAAUUAGUAAUAGUGAUACUUAAUACAAUAAAAUUACAUGAAAUUAAAAUAAAAUUGAAUAGAAACAAACACAAUAUCAAUUAUCACAAUGCAAUUAGUAAGUGUCUGUAUAGUAUGACUUAUCUAAUGGUCAUAAGUAUUUAUGUAAUCCCAUAAGCUCCUAAUCAAAUUUUUUGUUAUGGUUUGAUUAUUUUUUUACUAGAACUUUUCAAUAUUAAAUAAGAUAUUUGGUCUCUACUAUCAAAAGCUCAAACUUUGAGCUUUUAGGAGUAAGGGUUAAAAAGAUUUUUUAAAAUGUUAAAAUAUUUAAAAUAUCAUUUACUUAUUUUACAAUCUUAUUUCAUUAUUUUCAUUACCUAACUUUAAAAAAUUUACAUAUUAAAGUAAUUUUAUAAUUUUUAAUAAAAGUUCACAUUAACAACCAAAAAAUUAAAAUUUUUGCCUAAAAUCUCUAUUUAUAAAAGCCCUACUAAUAAAAACAUAUUUAAAUAAACUCAAUUUUAAAAGCUACAACUUAAAUACAACUGGAAAUUUUUUUUCCAUUUUUAAUAUUUAAUUGUCGGGCUGAAGGAUCGGACUAAGACUUUCUUGAUAAACCCCUAGACCGAGCCCGAUCCGGCUCAAUUUCGAACACCUGAAGUCCUAAUCCGACUCGAAGCCUAAAAGUGGAGCCAAAGCCUGGCUAGGCGGGGCGCUCACCCUAGCGGCAACUCAACUCAAAGCCUUGGCUGGAUGGUCGUAGUUUUUGUGCGGUUCAGUUAACAGGCGUGGAUACAACGCUAGGCCGGGUAUGCGCAGAGUCUUAACCUACACCCACUACAUUUCUCCUCUGUCCUCUCUAUAAAUAGCUUUUCGUUUCCCUCUUCUUUCAAAAUCAUCACCGAAUCAACAAAGAACCUGUCGCUCUGUCACUCACUAACAAAAUAUCACGAAACGAUCAAUAAUUAGCAAGUUAUUAGCAAAUUAACUGAACUGCUUCAAGCAAUAAUGGCUACUUUCGGUGCUGCUGCCGUUGCCACCAAUCAAAACCCUAAUAAGUCCAUCGAG
Molecule: long non-coding RNA, 20935 nt
Filed under: Citrus maxima (pomelo)
Lineage: Eukaryota; Viridiplantae; Streptophyta; Magnoliopsida; Sapindales; Rutaceae
Description: long non-coding RNA (CMAX_LNC000271)
Source: RNAcentral